UCCUAUAAAACACAAAUCACCUGACCAGUAAAAUUCUGCCACAUCAAAUUUAAUAUUUCAAAAUUAAAAGAAAAAACAAAACCAUUUAUCCAUUACUUUCGGACAAAAAAACAUUUACGAGAAAGGAAAAUAUAAAAACGUUUACACGUCUAAGAAAACCUGAACGAAAAUUUAAAAAGAAUAUAUUUGCAAAUGUUUGGGCUAUUAAUAAAGUCUAAGUACAUAAAAAUGAUUUGUAAACCCUGUAACUAUUUUCUUUGUUCUUUUUCUAUGUCUUCUCAUGCUUUAUCGAUUUGUAUCCCUAAUUUUCCGCCCACUAACACCUCCACGUUCAAGGUGAUUAUACAACCGAUUCCUCUUUUAUUUAAAUCCCAAUUCAGUUUCUAUUAUCUGUUAUCCUCUCCUCUAAUCCUCUCUGUUCCAUCGUUUUUUUUUCUGCUCAUCUAUUACAAUUCUCACUCAGGUGAAUGUUCAAACUUUUGUUCAUAUUCAUAGAUUUUAUCUUCAACUCAUAUUAAUUAUGAUUUUUAUAUAUUCAGGUGGAAGAUUCUCUGGAUUAUACCCAUCUUUCACAUCUAAAAUUCUUUGACAAAAGAAUGGAAGAUCAGAGCUUUAAUAUCGUGGACAUGGAAUUAUUAUCCAAAGAUAAAGCUGGAGUAAUUCUCAAGGGGUUAGUCUCCAACAUGAAAGAAUGAGCUUUCCGCCAAUGGAGUUUCAAACUGUCUCCUAAUCUCAAAUUGUCUUCUAUGCCAUUUACAAGACAUGAUAUCCUUAUGGUACCUCUACCUCACAUAUGGACUUCUUCUUAUUAAUUUCCCACUGUCAGGUUCUAGGAACAAUUGAUCUACGUUGUUGGGUAAAAUUUUAUUUAAUUCCUUCAUGAAACCCUUCCUCAAGUCUUCGCAGAAAAAUAAAAAGAAUUUAAUUCUCUUUGUCUGUUUUAAAUAACAAUAAUAAAAAGAAAAGAGAGAACAACAAUGAUUAGUCCUUUACUUAAUGCAAUCCAAUUUUUUUUAUUUGGAACCAUUUUUUAUUAACUUUUCCACAAUAUAUAUGUUGAUUGAUGUUCCCAAAAUUACCUUUUGUUUGGCAUAUUGAUUUUCAUUUUCAGCCCAUGCACGGUCCAAGUUGUAAGCAUGAUCAAAGUGGCAUACAAUUUUUUCAUCUCUCCAAGAUACUAUGCUUUGGUAAAUUUUAAAAUGGCCAUGAUUAGCCUUAUGGUUUAUACAAGGAUAAAGACAUGUGGAAAUGAAGUUAAGAAGAAGGAAUUGGCAAGUGAGGAGGAAACUGAAGAGUGAACAAGCAUGUGCAAUAGAAUACAAUUGUGUAUAUAAAGCAUGUAGUCAUUUCUGUGUAGAACAUGCACUGUUUUGUUAUUGAAAGGGCGAUGUAUGUGUUGCUUAGUGACAUAGAGCUUGUGUUGGUGAUUUAUGGACGGGUUUUUCUUAAUUUUAUGAACAUAUAUAUCGAACUAUUUAUUCAAGCGUUUAAAAGAUAUCUUUAAUUUUGUCAAGCUAUAAACCUUAAAUUUAUAGCUUAUAAUGGAGAGUUGCAAUAUAAUCAACAUUACAUUUACUUUUAACAACAUAGAAAUUUGGUAAUAUUCAACCAAUUUUUUUUUAUUGUAUAUUACUCUUAACAAUUAGUUAUAUAUUAUUUGAUUACAAAAAGCAAUGUCGUGCGUAUGCACGGGAGAAAUUCUAGUAUAGAAUAGGGCUGAAGCAAAUGUUGCUCUAUAAUAGAGAUUUGACUCUAAAAUAGAGUGGGGCUGGAGAUGUCCUAAUAAACAAUCUGAAGAGUUAAAUAAUCCAUCCAAAAACUAAAUCAAAUUGGUGAUGUUGAAUUUUGAUGAUGCAAGAGUACUGACACAUGAUGAUACUAUGUUUGGUUUGAAUAUAAUAAAGGUCUAAAGAAAAACUCAAAUUUAUUGUUAUUCUAAUUCUAUAAGAUUAUAUCAAAUAUUUUGAAAACAUUAAUUUAAUUUAAAUAUUAUUGAAAGAAAAUUAUGUUUAA
This is a non-coding RNA of Camelina sativa (false flax), 2013 nucleotides long. The record is from RefSeq and is a predicted model, not a curated record. NCBI's taxonomy places the organism in Eukaryota, Viridiplantae, Streptophyta, Magnoliopsida, Brassicales, Brassicaceae.